RNAcentral lists this microRNA precursor (205 nucleotides) under Oryza brachyantha (malo sina). RNAcentral describes it as "MIR812 microRNA precursor family". It matches the Rfam family "MIR812 microRNA precursor family". The record is from Rfam by way of RNAcentral. Lineage: Eukaryota; Viridiplantae; Streptophyta; Magnoliopsida; Poales; Poaceae.
AAUAAAUCAACAUUUCAGUUUUUAGAUACAAUGUUUAACUCUUCGUCUUACUAAAAAAAUUUACAAUCAAUAAUUUUAUUUUUAUUAGAUGAUAAAACACGAAUAAUACUUUAUAUGUGACUAAUUUUUUAAAAAUUUCUUAAAAUUUUUUCAAAUAAGACGAAUGGUCAAAUGCUCGACAAAAAACCGAAAUGACAAAGCUGUA